AGUUUGAUCCUGGCUCAGGAUGAACGCUAGCUACAGGCUUAACACAUGCAAGUCGAGGGGCAGCAUUGGAGUAGCAAUACUUCAGAUGGCGACCGGCGCACGGGUGAGUAACACGUAUCCAACCUGCCGCUUACUCGGGGAUAGCCUUUCGAAAGAAAGAUUAAUACCCGAUGGUAUAAAGAGUUCGCAUGUUCUCUUUAUUAAAGAAUUUCGGUAAGCGAUGGGGAUGCGUUCCAUUAGAUAGUUGGCGGGGUAACGGCCCACCAAGUCUACGAUGGAUAGGGGUUCUGAGAGGAAGGUCCCCCACAUUGGAACUGAGACACGGUCCAAACUCCUACGGGAGGCAGCAGUGAGGAAUAUUGGUCAAUGGACGCGAGUCUGAACCAGCCAAGUAGCGUGAAGGAUGACUGCCCUAUGGGUUGUAAACUUCUUUUAUAAGGGAAUAAAGUGAGGGACGUGUCCCUUUUUGUAUGUACCUUAUGAAUAAGGAUCGGCUAACUCCGUGCCAGCAGCCGCGGUAAUACGGAGGAUCCAAGCGUUAUCCGGAUUUAUUGGGUUUAAAGGGAGCGUAGGUUGACAUAUAAGUCAGCUGUGAAAGUUUACGGCUCAACCGUGAAAUUGCAGUUGAUACUGUAUGUCUUGAGUGUACAAGAGGUGGGCGGAAUUCGUGGUGUAGCGGUGAAAUGCUUAGAUAUCACGAAGAACUCCAAUUGCGAAGGCAGCUCACUGGGGUACAACUGACACUGAGGCUCGAAAGUGUGGGUAUCAAACAGGAUUAGAUACCCUGGUAGUCCACACAGUAAACGAUGAAUACUCGCCGUUUGCGAUAUACAGUAAGCGGCCAAGCGAAAGCAUUAAGUAUUCCACCUGGGGAGUACGCCGGCAACGGUGAAACUCAAAGGAAUUGACGGGGGCCCGCACAAGCGGAGGAACAUGUGGUUUAAUUCGAUGAUACGCGAGGAACCUUACCCGGGCUUGAAUUGCAGAGGAAUAUAGUUGAAAGAUUAUGGCCGCAAGGUCUCUGUGAAGGUGCUGCAUGGUUGUCGUCAGCUCGUGCCGUGAGGUGUCGGCUUAAGUGCCAUAACGAGCGCAACCCUUAUCAUUAGUUACUAACAGGUGAUGCUGAGGACUCUAGUGAGACUGCCGUCGUAAGAUGUGAGGAAGGUGG
Molecule: ribosomal RNA, 1168 nt
Filed under: uncultured Bacteroides sp.
Lineage: Bacteria; Pseudomonadati; Bacteroidota; Bacteroidia; Bacteroidales; Bacteroidaceae
Description: bacterial SSU rRNA
Rfam family: Bacterial small subunit ribosomal RNA
Source: RNAcentral